This 465-nucleotide ribosomal RNA is filed under the name uncultured bacterium. Its description in RNAcentral is "partial 16S ribosomal RNA". It matches the Rfam family "Bacterial small subunit ribosomal RNA", at positions 28 to 507 of the family's 1533-position model. The record is from RNAcentral.
GACGAACGCUGGCGGCGUGCUUAACACAUGCCAGUCGAACGGAAAGGCCCCUUUGGGGGUACUCGAGUGGCGAACGGGUGAGUAACACGUGAGUAACCUGCCCUUGACUUCGGGAUAACUUCAGGAAACUGGGGCUAAUACCGGAUAGGAAUCCUUGCUGCAUGGUGGGGGUUGGAAAGCUUCGGCGGUUUUGGAUGGACUCGCGGCUUAUCAGCUUGUUGGUGGGGUAGUGGCUUACCAAGGCUUUGACGGGUAGCCGGCCUGAGAGGGCGACCGGCCACAUUGGGACUGAGAUACGGCCCAGACUCCUACGGGAGGCAGCAGUGGGGAAUAUUGCACAAGGGGCGGAAGCCUGAUGCAGCAACGCCGCGGGCGGGAGGACGGCCUUCGGGUUGUAAACCGCUUUCAGCAGGGGCGAAGCUUGUGGUGACGGUACCUGCAGAAGAAGCACCGGCUAACUACGUG